Molecule: ribosomal RNA, 253 nt
Filed under: uncultured bacterium
Lineage: Bacteria
Description: partial 16S ribosomal RNA
Rfam family: Bacterial small subunit ribosomal RNA
Source: RNAcentral
UACGAAGGGGGCGAGCGUUGUUCGGAUUUACUGGGCGUAAAGGGCGCGCAGGCGGCAGAUCAAGUCAGACGUGAAAGCCCCGGGCUUAACCUGGGAACUGCGUUUGGGACUGGUUUGCUAGAGAUCGGGAGAGGAGAGUGGAAUUCCCAGUGUAGAGGUGAAAUUCGUAGAUAUUGGGAAGAACACCGGUGGCGAAGGCGGCUCUCUGGGCCGAUACUGACGCUGAGGAGCGAAAGCGUGGGGAGCGAACAGG